GGGGCUGUAGCUCAGUUGGGAGAGUGCUUGACUGGCAGUCAAGAGGUCGCCGGUUCGAUCCCGGUCAGCUCCACCA
This 76-nucleotide transfer RNA is filed under the name Candidatus Aminicenantes bacterium RBG_13_63_10. RNAcentral describes it as "tRNA-Ala". It matches the Rfam family "tRNA". From Rfam's summary of the family: Transfer RNA (tRNA) molecules are approximately 80 nucleotides in length. Their secondary structure includes four short double-helical elements and three loops (D, anti-codon, and T loops). Further hydrogen bonds mediate the characteristic L-shaped molecular structure. tRNAs have two regions of fundamental functional importance: the anti-codon, which is responsible for specific mRNA codon recognition, and the 3' end, to which the tRNAs corresponding amino acid is attached (by aminoacyl-tRNA synthetases). tRNAs cope with the degeneracy of the genetic code in two manners: having more than one tRNA (with a specific anti-codon) for a particular amino acid; and 'wobble' base-pairing, i.e. permitting non-standard base-pairing at the 3rd anti-codon position. Lineage: Bacteria; Candidatus Aminicenantota. RNAcentral also lists the same sequence under 3 other names. The record is from RNAcentral.